UACGGAGGGUGCAAGCAUUGAUCGGAAUUACUGGGCGUAAAGGGCGCGUAGGCGGCACGAAUAAGUCGGAUCGUGAAAUUCCGGGGCUCAACCCCGGAGCUGCAUUUGAAACUGUCGGAGCUAGAGUACAGUUAGGGUAAACGGAAUUCCACGUGUAGCGGUGAAAUGCGUAGAUAUGUGGAAGAACACCGGUGGUGAAAACGGUUUACUGGGCUGAAACUGACGCUGAGGCGCGAAAGCAUGGGGAGCAAACAGG
RNAcentral lists this ribosomal RNA (256 nucleotides) under uncultured bacterium. RNAcentral's name for it is "partial 16S ribosomal RNA". It matches the Rfam family "Bacterial small subunit ribosomal RNA", at positions 524 to 776 of the family's 1533-position model. The record is from RNAcentral.